RNAcentral lists this ribosomal RNA (303 nucleotides) under uncultured bacterium. RNAcentral describes it as "bacterial SSU rRNA". It matches the Rfam family "Bacterial small subunit ribosomal RNA", at positions 355 to 655 of the family's 1533-position model. The record is from RNAcentral.
UGAGGAAUAUUGGUCAAUGGGCGCAAGCCUGAACCAGCCAAGUCGCGUGAGGGAAGACGGUCCUAUGGAUUGUAAACCUCUUUUGUCGGGGAGCAAAGCGCGGUACGAGUACCGUGAAGGAGAGUACCCGAAGAAAAAGCAUCGGCUAACUCCGUGCCAGCAGCCGCGGUAAUACGGAGGAUGCGAGCGUUAUCCGGAUUUAUUGGGUUUAAAGGGUGCGUAGGCGGAUUUGUAAGUCAGCGGUAAAAAUGCGGUGCUCAACGCCGUAUCGCCGUUGAAACUGCGGGUCUUGAGUGAGCGAGA